AUGAAACUGUUGUUGUUGUUAUUAUCAUUUUUAAUAUUAUUAUCUGACUAUCAAUUCAAUUCAAUUCAAUUUUAUUUAUAUAGCGCCAAAUCUGUCACGGCCUGGAGGUUCAGCUGGUCGCUGAUCAGCUGUCUCUGCCUCUUUCUCUCUAGUCCGCUCUCUCUCUAUCCCUCUCUCUCUCUCGCCAGGGCUGAACUCAUUAUGGGUUCACGCCCUUGGCCCACGCCCUCGGAGGAAGAAACACCUGUGCCUCAUCAGUGUGGCUGGUAUUUAAGCCAGGAAGCAACGACUGUUCUUCGCUGGAUCGUUGUGAGAAUCGCACUCCCUGGACUGUUUCCCUGGUGUGCGAGUGGAUUUGCGUUUGGAUUGUGUGGAGAGAGACGAGCGUGUUCCCCUGGAUUUUCCCCGGAGCCCUGCCCCCCUCACCUUUUGUACAUAGCACUGCCCCGCACCCUUGUAGAUAGCAUUGCCCCGCAUCUGUGUAUAUACACUCAUUGGACUUUGUUCUUCAAUAAAUUCUCUUGUGUGCAUCAUCCCCGGAGUCCGGCGCGUGAGUCCACCUUGUACUCCGUGACAAAAUCACAACAAAAGUCGCCUCAAGUCGCUUCAUAGGUACGGAGAAAAACCCAACAAUCAUAUGACCCCCUAUGAGCAAGCACUUUGGCGACAGUGGGAAGGAAAAACUCCCUUUUAACAGGAAGAAACCUCCGGCAGAACCAGGCUCAGGGAGGGGCGGGGCCAUCUGCUGCGACCGGUUGGGGUGAGAGAAGGAAUCCACAUGGAAAUAAAAAAUAUGUUAUAAUGAUAUAUGUAAACCCAAAUACCUGUAAACAUUUUGAAAAUGUUGGAGUCUAUUUUGAUUAGUAUCUUGGGAACACAAUUUGAUGACAGCUAUCACCUCCAAACACUUUACUCUGAGGUAUUUUUUUAAAACAGCAAAUAUUUCAAUAUUUGCCUGUCUUCUUUUCAGUACUUGUUAAAUAUGCAUCUCAUCAAAUCUCCCUAUAAUGCUUGCUUACUUUUCUGGCUCUCUUUGUCACUGCAGGCUGAUAAAACACAAAGCACCACUCAGCUCACCUCCACUCCAUAUGGAGGACCAUCACUCGACUCGCAGAUUACUGUAAUUGUCCCAACUUUGCUCUGUACCUGAUAGAACACCAUACCAGCUGAUGAGAGCACUCACCAAUGCAGGACUCUGGUUAUUAGCAUCUACCAAACUGAUUUCUGUCAGUGAGCACUAUGCAAUUAUAUUGCAUGUUGUCUUGUGUCAUAUAUUGUUUGGGAAUGGCUUCCGUUUGGUUUUGUUCUGUCUGAGAAUUUUUCCAAAUUAGUUUUGAAAGUGUAACACAUAAGAUUUUGAGAACAAAUAAUGUUGAAAAGUUACUACUUUGAUGUAACAUACAAUCUGAUUUUCCCUUGGUUCAAGUACUGUAAUGUUUCCACUGACACUAGAUACACUUAUAUUGAAAUUAUUAUUUUGGUGAUAUAAUAUAUGUGAUAUAAAUAAAUGGU
RNAcentral lists this long non-coding RNA (1512 nucleotides) under Oreochromis niloticus (Nile tilapia). RNAcentral's name for it is "lncRNA (ENSONIG00000040570.1)". Lineage: Eukaryota; Metazoa; Chordata; Actinopteri; Cichliformes; Cichlidae. The record is from RNAcentral.